Molecule: long non-coding RNA, 1102 nt
Organism: Cyprinus carpio (common carp)
Lineage: Eukaryota; Metazoa; Chordata; Actinopteri; Cypriniformes; Cyprinidae
Source: Ensembl
CCCUAUCCUAAAAGAUCAUUUAGACAUCUUGACAUCUAACCAACAUUUUUUCAUUCUUUACCAGAAACACAAGCUCCAAAUGUCUGCUUUUAAACCCCUCCAGAUGAAUUGCAUGCAAACCUCAUACAUGUUCGGUGCAUUUAAGCAUCAGACCUGCGCUCCACAUUCAUCCAGCUGAACAUAACCUGGAAUCUUUUUCUUAUUGUUUUGCUGCGUGUGUGUGUGUGUGUGUGUGUGUGUGUGUGUGUGGUCUGGCAGACAUGCGUUCAGCUCUGUUUGUCAGGUUUCUAGUUUGCUCGUCGUUGUAAUCGCGUUACACGUGCUGUCGAGUCUUGCAGGAGAUUCACAGCGAGAGAACGUCCUGUUUUGAUUGCGAUUCUCACAAACACUGUUUUCUGUUCCACAUCCAGCUCGCUUAGCUUUCAUAAAACAGGUUAUAGCCCCGGGUCAUGCUGCAAUUCUAACAUAUGAUAAAUAAUAGAGGAGACGAGGAUUGUUUGGCAGCCUGACCCCUCGCGCUGAUGAAACGCUGAUUAUUUUCCUAGGAAAUCUGGCUGAGGCGGAUUUCUCCAGAUGUUUCUCUUCAGAAUAUUCAAGGAUUUGGGUUAAAUAUGGAGAAUUAAGUGCGCCUGUCGAGCAGCGCCGGAGGUUAAACAUCCCUCCGACUGCGGAGAAAAUUUCACAAGUCUGAAACAUAAUCACAGGCCGUGAUAAAGAGAUGAGGAGAGACUGUGUGACCCCGUCAUGUUCAGGCGCUCAGCCAUUAAAGCGUUUUAAAGCACUUCCAAAAGGGAUGGAUUUGGAGGAAAGCAGCCAGGGCAGUGAGGGGGCCGACGCGUGCCUAAAAAUACAGCCGCAUGCCACUCACGAGGUGAAACUUUAAUUAAGACACGAGCACUUCAUCAUUAUUCCACUCGACUGAUGAUUACCAUCUGACAUUUUAACACACGCAAACACGCUGAUAUAUAUUCUGCCACUUUCUCGGCGAGAGGAAGAAGGCAAUCGUGCAAUUAUCACUUCAAGCCGUCGAUCAUUGAACCUUUUCUUUGAUAGAUUGGCACACUUUUGAUGAGAGCAGGUCAGAAACGAUACGCCCUCAAAC